RNAcentral lists this small RNA (910 nucleotides) under Pongo abelii (Sumatran orangutan). RNAcentral's name for it is "processed transcript". Lineage: Eukaryota; Metazoa; Chordata; Mammalia; Primates; Hominidae. The record is from RNAcentral.
CAGAAGGGACUGCCUUCCCCUCAGUGCUCGCUCCUCCUUAGUGAUCACUGAGUCCCCUUGAGCAGUGAGUCUCAUUCUUCUCAGUAAAUCUUCUCGCUGUGUAGUGAGAAAACUGAGGGCUGGAGAGGCUCUGCGACCUGCCUAGGACCACAGAACUCGAGAAUUACGUGUACCAGAGACUGUUUGAAUGCUAUGCGUUUAACGGGACACAGCGCCUCCUGGACAGACUCAUCUACAACCAGGAGGAGUACAUCCGCUUCGACAGCGACCUUGGGGAGUACAGGACGGUGACGGAGCUGGGACGGCGUACUGCUGAGUACUGGAACAGCCAGAAGGACAUCCUGGAGCUGGAGCGGGCCGAGGUGGACAGGGUGUGCAGACACAACUAUGAGCUGGAGGAGCCACUCAUCCGGAAGCGCCAAGGCUGGAGUGCUGUGGCACCAUCAUGGCUCACUGCAGCCUCAACCUCCUGGGCUCAAGUGAUCCUCCUGCCUCAGCCUCCCAUGUAGCUAGAACUACAGAUACAUGUACCACCAUGUCUGGCUAAUUUAUUUUUCUUUUUAGAGAUGGGUUCUCACUAUAUUGCCCAGGCUGGUCUCAAACCCCUGGGCUCAAGUGAUCCUCACGCCUGCCUCCCAAAGUGCUAAGAUUAUAGGCAUGACCACCAUGCCUGGCCUUUUCUGCCUUCUGAGGAGGAAAAAGGUACUAGUGGCAGAGAUCCAAAAGAAAAGUUGCCAGUGGCAGUGUGGAAAUUGACCUGAGAACAACAGAACAAGCUGGGGCACAAAUCCAAAGAUGCAAAGGGAGGCAACACCUGGUUAUCUGCGAGAUCUUCACGGGACCUGAAGACACAUCCUUUUGGAAAAGGAAGGGAUUUCUACUACUCAAGCAUGUAGGGGCUCAGGAUAUU